AAACCAUAAAAGUGAAACAUAAGUAGUACAAUAUCUGCUUCUAGUACAAAAAUGGUGGUCUCUAGUACACUGGUAAAACUCUCAACCUCUCACAAAAGAAACAAAGAGAGGUAGACCACCUAUCAAACGAUCCCUCGGUAAGCACGCUAGCCCGAGGUAAUACUCUUUCCGCGAUCCCUGGCCUCACCCUGUGUGGAAGGCUCUGAAAAACAACGAGAAAAAGAGGGCGUGAGAACUAUAAUUUAUAGUUCCCAGUGGGCAAUUACUAACCUCAGCUCAUGCUCCACUAGGCCCCAAAAAUAAGGGUAAGCAACGAUAAUAAUAAUAAGCAAUAAGGAGCAUGUAAAUAAACUGCUGAAAGAAAGCAUAAUUGAAAUGCUAGUCUACUGUGUCUCAAGUAAGCAUGAUGUCAACCAAAAUGUACAUCUAUUCUAUCAUCACAAUUAAGUCCAAUGGCACUAGUUUAAUGUUGUUAACCUUUGUCAAUACAUGAUGUAGAAGUUCUAUCAUGGCAACCAAGUAUACUACAUGUCUCACACUAUGCUAAAAGCAUGUAAAUGUAAUCCAACUACUAAGCCUAUCUAGUAGUGAUCAUUCAUUCUCAAACCGUGUCGAUUUUCAUUUCCAAUUAAGGAUUUACCCAAGGUAGUCCGGCUUGUGCCGCCUAAGUGCCUGUGGUAGCCCGACAUUCCUACACAUGGAAUGUGUCUGUCCCACUCGACCCCGUAGGCGUCUCAAUACCGCACGAGCGAACAAAAGUCGCAUAGGCCAACUCCGGAGUGCCGGCUUGUGGGGAGCGACCCUCACAAGCAUGUGCGAAUGAGCACAAAUGGCAAACAAGCAAGGUCACUGUCUCAAGUACCAAAUUCUCAUGUCUCUAACAUGGUAUAGUCACUAGCAUCCUGAAGAUCUAGUUCAAAGUCAUGAUGUGAAGUCCCAACACACACUUGCUUAGUGCCUCUUUAUGACACUCAAGCUCCACAACUAAUCAUGUUCCAAUUAAGCCAUUAACAUUAAUGCUCACUAUGCCCCGGGCCCCAAUGCCUCUUCAUGACAUUGGCCCAAUCUCACAUAUCAUCUAAGUCCCUAAGCCUCUCUAGGCUUCCAAAAAUUCCUAAUGUCACAUCUGGUAUAUAGUUGAAUGCAUGAAAGCAAGGUUCGUUUUCAUAAUAGGGAUUAUAAUUUCAAGUCUCAACUAGAAUGCUAGGCCGCACAUGCAUGCUCUCUACUAUAUAGAGGUCCCAAAAUUUACUACACAUAACCUAUGCAUGUUAAGCAUUCUAUAAUUCAUAAUAAAUACAUUUAACAUGAAAAUGCAAGAAUUUCAACUUUACGAAACAUUUAACACCAAAUAUGAGCAUUUCUCAUAUUGUAUGCUAGGCCAAACCCACCGAACCGUCGCGUAGGGUCUCGUUUCGCCGAACAAAGU
RNAcentral lists this long non-coding RNA (1429 nucleotides) under Ananas comosus (pineapple). Its description in RNAcentral is "long non-coding RNA (ACOM_LNC038787)". Lineage: Eukaryota; Viridiplantae; Streptophyta; Magnoliopsida; Poales; Bromeliaceae. The record is from RNAcentral.